RNAcentral lists this ribosomal RNA (567 nucleotides) under uncultured bacterium. RNAcentral's name for it is "bacterial SSU rRNA". It matches the Rfam family "Bacterial small subunit ribosomal RNA", at positions 27 to 570 of the family's 1533-position model. The record is from RNAcentral.
GAACGAACGCUGGCGGCGUGCCUAAGACAUGCAAGUCGUGCGAGAAAGGGGCUUCGGCCCUGAGUACAGCGGCGCACGGGUGAGUAACGCGUGGGCAACCUACCUCGAAGUUGGGAAUAACCCGGGGAAACCUGGGCUAAUGCCGAAUGAGCCUACGAGAUCCUCGGAUCAUGUGGGAAAAGAUGGCCUCUGCUUGCAAGCUAUCGCUACGAGAUGGGCCCGCGUCCCAUUAGCUAGUUGGUGAGGUAACGGCUCACCAAGGCUCCGAUGGGUAGCUGGUCUGAGAGGACGAUCAGCCACACUGGAACUGAGACACGGUCCAGACUCCUACGGGAGGCAGCAGUCGGGAAUCUUGGGCAAUGGGCGCAAGCCUGACCCAGCGACGCCGCGUGAGGGAUGAAGGCCUUCGGGUCGUAAACCUCUGUCAGGAGGGAAGAACGUCAGCGGGGUGAACAAUCCCGUUGGUUGACGGUACCUCCAAAGGAAGCGCCGGCUAACUCCGUGCCAGCAGCCGCGGUAAUACGGAGGGCGCAAGCGUUGUUCGGAAUCACUGGGCGUAAAGCGCGU